RNAcentral lists this ribosomal RNA (686 nucleotides) under bacterium enrichment culture clone BH84. Its description in RNAcentral is "bacterial SSU rRNA". It matches the Rfam family "Bacterial small subunit ribosomal RNA", at positions 69 to 752 of the family's 1533-position model. The record is from RNAcentral.
GUAACAGGCCUUCGGGCGCUGACGAGUGGCGAACGGGUGAGUAAUGCAUCGGAACGUGCCCGGUCGUGGGGGAUAACACUUCGAAAGAAGUGCUAAUACCGCAUACGAUCUGAGGAUGAAAGCGGGGGACCUUCGGGCCUCGCGCGAUCGGAGCGGCCGAUGUCAGAUUAGGUAGUUGGUGGGAUAAAAGCUUACCAAGCCAACGAUCUGUAGCUGGUCUGAGAGGACGACCAGCCACACUGGGACUGAGACACGGCCCAGACUCCUACGGGAGGCAGCAGUGGGGAAUUUUGGACAAUGGGCGCAAGCCUGAUCCAGCAAUGCCGCGCGCAGGAAGAAGGCCUUCGGGUUGUAAACUGCUUUUGUACGGAACGAAAAGGCUCUGGCUAAUACCUGGAGCUCAUGACGGUACCGUAAGAAUAAGCACCGGCUAACUACGUGCCAGCAGCCGCGGUAAUACGUAGGGUGCGAGCGUUAAUCGGAAUUACUGGGCGUAAAGCGUGCGCAGGCGGUGCUGUAAGACAGGCGUGAAAUCCCCGGGCUCAACCUGGGAAUUGCGCUUGUGACUGCAGCGCUGGAGUGCGGCAGAGGGGGAUGGAAUUCCGCGUGUAGCAGUGAAAUGCGUAGAUAUGCGGAGGAACACCGAUGGCGAAGGCAAUCCCCUGGGCCUGCACUGACGCUCAUGC